AAUUAUUUGAGACAGUAUAAUUCACAGCUGGAUUUAUGUAACGGACUAUAUUUUACCUCGGUAGCAAAUCGGUUUGAAAGUAUAAAUCCCGUCUUUACCCGUGUUAACGGAGAGAAUGAUACAGGUCGGACCUCAAAGACCUUGUGAAGAGGCCGGUAGGACCUGUAAAUAAACUCUGAUUAAAAAAAAAGUUAACGGAGAGAAAGGGGCGUCAAACGAGAGUGCAGUGUAUCGGUACUAUAAGUAAAUAUGUAACUUGGAGAGAAUGACAUAAAUUAACUAUGGGUUGCUCUAGAAGACCGAUUCAGGAAAGGUAGAUGAGCGUGUGGCGCGUCUCGAGUACAAUGUGGACGGGGCGUACAUCCACGCGGCGCAACUCAUUCUAUACAUAGAUGGUGACGUCACUACGUUAUUGUGACGUUGAAUAAGACCGGGUUCAUGAAAAUCGCUUUAAAAUUGACGAAGUAAUGGCUGUUCAAAACGAUGCACCUCGUUUUCGGAUGAUUUCGAGUUGGAUACCUUGACGCCAUCGAAAAACGGCAUUAGCUAGUGCCAAAGACGAAAGAGACAAGGCGGCAGAGUAAGCGGGCAUACCUGAUAUACGAUACCCUCCACAUUUCACGGAAGCGCGGUGCAAACGUAGGGACACAAUGGCAGUGAGAUAUCCAUGUUAUCAUGGAAUGUACAUGGACUUAGCGAAUGUAAAAAAAUAUGGUGCUGUGUUUGUAAUUGUGUUAGGUUCUUCUGAUAUAUGUUUUUGUUUGAAUCAUGGACCAAUGCUUCGAAUAACAUUAAAAUCAAUGGCUAUCAAUCUUUUGAUUAUUUUAGAAAUUUUCAACACUAUUUCGACACUACUAUUUGGUAAAUACUGAAGAAUUAUUUUUAUCAAAUACUGCUAGUGCUGUGUAUAUAUGUGGAAGUUGUGUAUUGGAGGAAGAUUACCAUUAACGCGGUAGUGUCUUUGUUACAGAAGAGCUUAAUAGCAGAUCCAGUAAUAAAUGUGAUUUUAUUGUAUAUGACUGAAUAAACACAGUACUUGACGAUUUGACUAUAUACAAGAUCGCUCCUCUGUUAGGGCCUCUAUUGAUACAAUGCAUAAUAAUCACGGGAAUAAAUUGCUCAACUUAUGUAAAUCAACCACUUUACGCAUUGUCAAUGUUAGAAUAAGUGAUAGUUGUAAACAUACAUUCUUUUCAAGGAAUGGUUCAUCUGCCAUUGAUUACUUAUUGAGCCAUGAAAGUAACUUUCCAUUGUUAUAAAAUUUUACUGUUGGCACAUUUAACGAUAUGGAGUGAUGAUGCUCCGUUAUACUUUUCAUCAUUUUGUAAUAAUUGUUUAUCUAGUUACGAGACAUUCACUGAUGCUAAAUAUAAAUGGGACAUUUGGCGUAGAGAUGAAUUUUGUUCAGAAUUAUUUCGAAACUUCCCAUUUUCAAUGAAAUUGUUAGAAGUAUUGUUAAUUCGAGCCAGUUGACUUUUAACUCCAUUUUAGAUAAAUUCACAGCCACAUUUCGCAUUGAAGCGGAUGAGUUGUUCUCAAAAUCGUAUACCAGAGAUCAGCGAGUCACGAGGCUGAGGGAGAGGCAAGCAAUAGCCAAAUACCGCAUCAACAUUGUAGUUGCUUCUAUGGUAAUAGUUGAGUAGUUUGAAGAACCACAGCGACGUAAAAUAUGAUGGUCGGUCAAGCCUUGGAUUCAGAGACGAUCCCUCUACGGGCAAAACGAGACCCUUUUGCAUGAACUGCAUCUCGAGAACCUUGCCGAUUUUGAGGCUUAUUUGCGUCUCAAGCCAGAGUUGUUUCAAGAACAAUGUGCCUUCUGUGUGUCGUGCAAUCGUGGAAGAAUUCGAGGACGAAAUCUUCAGGACACCGUCAACCACUGAAGAAUGGCGUGACGUGGGAGCGGUGUUCAGAGAACGGCGGAACUAUCCACACUGCUUUGGAGCAAUCGACGGGAAGCAUGUGACCAUCAGGAAGCCGAAAAACAAUGGAUCCUUUUUUACAAUUAUAAGGACUUCUUUUCGAUCGUGUUGUCGACAGUGACAGACGCUUAGUUCAAGUUCUUGUAGGCGUAUGUUGGUUCACCUGGCUCCAACACAGACUGCUGUAUCUUUAACGAUUGCCAGCUGCCACAGGCCCAUGAACGCAAUAUAGUAGGUUUUUCAGAGCUGGAUUCUUUGCCUUAUGACAAUCUGAACAUGACCUACCUCUUUGUAGGUGACGACGCGUUGCCUCUUCGCACAUACAUGAUGAAACCCUACGCCUAUCGGUUUUUCAAUGUGGACGAACGUAUAUAUAACUAACGAAUAUCAAAAUAUAGCGCACAGGGUCGUCGAAAACGUCUUUGGCAUACUCGCAAAAAGGUUUCGCUACUUACUGGGUACAUGGUACAUUGGGCGUUGUUCCGGACACACAGUGCCGGCUCUUGCUCCACAACCUGAUGAGGAUGAGGUAUCAAAACCUUCAAAACGUUGAUGUUGACCAAGAGGAUGAUGACCAUCAACUGAUUCCGGGGGCUUCUAGAAACAAUGCCGUCAUGCAAGAAGUGGAGGUUAAGAAUGCCGAGUUCCGAGGUCAACAGCUGCGGCGAUUGAGCAGCGGGCAUAUCUCAAUCCAUAAUUUGCGAGCGAUGCGGAAAGUGUGCCAUGGUAGAUGCAUGCCAUCGACAGACUGGUUAUAGAAUGUUGAACUUGUGCUUGAAUUUGGGAACUAUGUGCGUUUUACAGGUGUAUACUAGUAUUAAAUGAU
Long non-coding RNA from Dreissena polymorpha, 2745 nucleotides. RefSeq lists it as uncharacterized. The transcript has 3 exons. Lineage: Eukaryota; Metazoa; Mollusca; Bivalvia; Myida; Dreissenidae. The record is from RefSeq and is a predicted model, not a curated record.